Raphanus sativus (radish) is the source of this 969-nucleotide long non-coding RNA. RefSeq lists it as uncharacterized. The record is from RefSeq and is a predicted model, not a curated record. The transcript is spliced from 3 exons. Lineage: Eukaryota; Viridiplantae; Streptophyta; Magnoliopsida; Brassicales; Brassicaceae.
UCUUAGUUUUGACGUUUCUUCUUCUUGAAACGAUCAUCGAUCAAUCAAGCAUAACUCCAUCUUCUACAAUCAAUCCUUCUAAGAUCUCAUUUAUGGUUUCGUUUGGCCUUUCUCCAUCUAAAUGUAUUUAUACCUUUUUUGUUUACCCCAUAUUCUUAAUCGUCUUUUUUUCCUGCUCAAAAUUAUCUCAAACGAUGAAUUCCAGCAGCAAUUCCAGAGAUCUGAUGUCCAAAAAACCAGAUGGCAAUAAUGGUGCUUCCCUUGCCGUACCAAUCAAACAGACCGGCCGUACCGGUGACUCUUCCGCCGAAGCUGUCUCCGGCUUGCCUGGCAAAGCCGGUGCUUCCUCUGCCGUAAUCAUCAAGCAGAGCGGCCGAGCCGGUGACUCUUUCGCCAAAACUGUCUCCGGCUUUCCAUCGUUGACCAAAGCAAACGGCAAGGCCGUAGUGUGCUCCGACGUGCCCAUCAGGCGUAUGAUAGAAGACUAAUCAAGAACCAAUUUCGAAGAGGAAAAGAAGGGAGCAUUGGCUAAUUGUAUGUGAACUUCUUAAGGACAUUCUAUACGAAUUCAACAAAUUCAACAGAGAAUCAGGUGGUGACGUUUAUUACACAAUGCCAAUAUUGCAGGUUAGUCCGAUUCCUAAUCUCUUUUGCACGUUUUGUACAGUCAAUUACUAUUCAGUGCCUUGAAGCACUUUUACAUGGCCUUGGACUUAUAAACUGUGAUUUGAAGCCUCGGAACAUAUUGGUCAAAAUCUACAGCAGAUGUGAAUUGGUUGCAGCUGUUUCGAGACAGAUUACAUAUUCUCCUGUCCAGUUGAGGUCAUAUAGAGCACCAGAAGUAAUUUUUGGGACUGGAACUCUUCGAUGGCUUUGUUAUCUCUCAUCAAUAACUAUUUUUCUCAUUUCCUUUCCUCAGUAUAUCAAUGUUUUUGCUUUCAUUUUUGACUUAAGCAUGCAUUUGUGGUG